AGUGAACGCUGGCGGUAGGCCUAACACAUGCAAGUCGAACGGCAGCACAGUAAGAGCUUGCUCUUACGGGUGGCGAGUGGCGGACGGGUGAGGAAUACAUCGGAAUCUACUUUUUCGUGGGGGAUAACGUAGGGAAACUUACGCUAAUACCGCAUACGACCUACGGGUGAAAGCAGGGGAUCUUCGGACCUUGCGCGAUUGAAUGAGCCGAUGUCGGAUUAGCUAGUUGGCGGGGUAAGGGCCCACCAAGGCGACGAUCCGUAGCUGGUCUGAGAGGAUGAUCAGCCACACUGGAACUGAGACACGGUCCAGACUCCUACGGGAGGCAGCAGUGGGGAAUAUUGGACAAUGGGCGCAAGCCUGAUCCAGCCAUACCGCGUGGGUGAAGAAGGCCUUCGGGUUGUAAAGCCCUUUUGUUGGGAAGGAAAAGCAGCAGGUUAAUACCCCGCUGUUCUGACGGUACCCAAAGAAUAAGCACCGGCUAACUUCGUG
RNAcentral lists this ribosomal RNA (492 nucleotides) under uncultured bacterium. Its description in RNAcentral is "partial 16S ribosomal RNA". It matches the Rfam family "Bacterial small subunit ribosomal RNA", at positions 29 to 507 of the family's 1533-position model. The record is from RNAcentral.